This 506-nucleotide ribosomal RNA is filed under the name uncultured bacterium. RNAcentral's name for it is "partial 16S ribosomal RNA". It matches the Rfam family "Bacterial small subunit ribosomal RNA", at positions 29 to 523 of the family's 1533-position model. The record is from RNAcentral.
AGUGAACGCUGGCGGUAGGCCUAACACAUGCAAGUCGAACGGCAGCACAGGAGAGCUUGCUCUCUGGGUGGCGAGUGGCGGACGGGUGAGGAAUACAUCGGAAUCUACUCUGUCGUGGGGGAUAACGUAGGGAAACUUACGCUAAUACCGCAUACGACCUACGGGUGAAAGCAGGGGACCUUCGGGCCUUGCGCGAUUGAAUGAGCCGAUGUCGGAUUAGCUAGUUGGCGGGGUAAAGGCCCACCAAGGCGACGAUCCGUAGCUGGUCUGAGCAGAUGAUCAGCCACACUGGAACUGAGGCACGGUCCAGGCUCCUACGGGAGGCAGCAGUGGGGAAUAUUGGACAAUGGGCGCAAGCCUGAUCCAGCCAUACCGCGUGGGUGAAGAAGGCCUUCGGGUUGUAAAGCCCUUUUGUUGGGAAAGAAAUCCAGCUGGCUAAUACCCGGUUGGGAUGACGGUACCCAAAGAAUAAGCACCGGCUAACUUCGUGCCAGCCGCCGCCGUAA